This 5758-nucleotide long non-coding RNA is filed under the name Zea mays. RNAcentral's name for it is "long non-coding RNA (ZMAY_LNC000927)". The record is from RNAcentral. Lineage: Eukaryota; Viridiplantae; Streptophyta; Magnoliopsida; Poales; Poaceae.
UUAAAAUCAGGAAGAAUCAACACAGGGGCUUGUGAUAGCUUCUCCUUAAUCUCCUUGAAACUUGCUUCUGCAGUUUCACUCCAUUGGAAUUUCCCUUUCUUCAAACAUUCAGUAAUUGGUGCCAUAAUAGUGCUGAAGUUCUUCACAAAUCUUCUAUAGAAAGUUUGCUAGACCAUGGAAACUUCUAACUUCAGUAAUAUUAUUUGGAGUUGGCCAAUCUCUUGUUGCAACAACUUUAGAUCAUCAACAUGAAUAACUUGUUAUGAUAAAGCCCAAGAAAAGAAGUUUCUUCUGUAGGAAAACACACUUCUUCAAAUUGAUUUAGAUCAUCAACAUGAAUAACUUGUUAUGAUAAAGCCCAAGAAAAGAAGUUUCUUCCGUAGGAAAACUGAUAGGAUUCCUAUUCCUACCAGGGACCUCCCUCAAGCUGUACUGGUGUACUGCUGGAGGUUGGCGGGGGACUGGGCGAGAGGGACGCCGUGUUCACGGCGUGGGAAAACAGGCUAGCUCAGGUUCCGGCUUCCACAGGGAAGACGGCUAGGUAAUUUCUUUGAUGAUCCUUCCUCCUGUCUUACAUCUCCUAUUUAUACUAGCCUCUCUCUCAAUAGAAGGCAACUUAUCUCUUAAUAAAAGGAAACUAAUCUCUCUGAAUAAAAGGAAGCUUAUCUCUAAAUAAAAGGAAACUCUCAAAAGGAAAUAGAUCCUAGGAUUACUGAAUUACUGCUGGCUGUCCCAGCCUUGAUCCCCUUCUCCUGCCGCAUGCCCCCUGGCCUGCUGUUUCCUUUUGUACUGCAUGCCGGUCAUAACAUCUCUCCCUGCCUGCGAAAACAGCUCGUCCUCGAGCUGGAAGUCAGGGUAGAGGUCUUUGAAUUCAGCCAGUAGUUCCCAUGUUGCUUCCUCGCGCGUCAUCCCUUGCCACUGAAUAAGAAUAUACCAGAUGUCACGGCGCAGCUGUGCUUUGAGGGUUGUCACUGGUACUGGCAGCAGUCGCCCAUCCUGGAUUGGUGGUAGUGGCGUCGGCAUGGCAGGCGGAUCUCCUUUGUGGGCUUUCAGGAGGCCCACGUGGAAGACGUCGUGGAUACGAGCACCCUCCGGCAGCUGUAGACGAUACGCCACGCUGCCGAUACGCUCCAGCACCUGGAAAGGUCCUGCAUAGCGCGGACCCAAUUUGCCCUUGGCAUGAGGAUCCAAGGACUUGGUGGUGCGAUGUAGCAAUCGCAACCAAACCCAAUCACCGGUCUUGAACUCCAUCUCCCGAUGUGUGGCAUCGUAAUACUUCUUGGAGAUCUGUUGUGCUUGAACAAGACGUUGACGGACUUCUGCCAGGACCUCAUCGCGGCUGCGAAGGAGAGCAUCCGCUGUCUCUGUCCGUGCGGUCCCUGGCUUGUAAGGCAAGAGGGCCGGAGGGGGUCGACCGUAGACCACCUCAAAGGGGGUUGCCCGCAAUGCUGUGUGAAAUGAUGUGUUGUAGCAAUAUUCCGCCCACGGCAACCAUUCCACCCAAGCGCGUGGUCGGUCACCUGUCACACAUCGAAGAUACAUGGCUAUCACCUUGUUUACCACCUCGGAUUGGCCAUCCGUCUGAGGGUGGAAAGUCGUGCUUAAGCGCAGCUUGACACCGGCUAACUUGAAGAGAUCGCGCCACACAUGGCCGGUGAACACGGGAUCCCUGUCGCUGACGAUGGAGGAGGGAAACCCAUGUAACCGGACGACGCCGUCGAAGAAGGCGCGAGCGACGGACGACGCUGUGUAAGGAUGCCCCAGCGCAAUAAAGUGCGCGUAUUUGGAGAAUCGAUCGACCACCGUGAGGAUGACAGCCUUGCCGCCCACCUUGGGAAGCCCCUCGAUGAAGUCCAUCGAAAUGUCGGCCCAUAUUUGGGACGGCACGUCGAGCGGUUGUAGAAGGCCGGCUGGGUGCAGAGUCUCGGUCUUGUUUUUCUGGCACGUUUUGCAUGUACGUACCCAUUCUUGUACCAAGGCGCGAUCGCUGGGGAUGUAGAACUCGGCACGAAGGCGGUGGAGUGUUUUCUGAACACCCUCAUGGCCUGCUGAGUGCGCCAAAGUGAGCACCUGGCGGCGCAGGUCCCCAUGGUCGGGCACGAAGAUGCGAGAUCCGUGGAGGAAGAGGCCAUCCUCCAGACGCCAAGGCGCUUCAAGGGUGCCCUCCUGCAGGCGCUGGAAAAGAUGUUGCGCGGCGUCGGUGGUGCUGGUCGCGUUCCGGAUCUCUUCCAGUAGGGCGAAGGAAGGCCCGGAGAGGGCAUGGACCGUGGCGGCCCCCUCCGAACUUAGUGCCGAAGAUGGGGACACCUCAUCACGGCGAGACAGUGCGUCCGCCACAGUAUUGAGGCGGCCCGGGCGGUACUCCACGUCGAAGUCGAAACCGAAGAGUUUGCUGAGCCAUUGAUGCUGUGGCACAGUGGACAACCGUUGAUCGAGUAGAAACUUGAGACUGUAGUGGUCCGUACGUACCCGAAAAUAGCGACCCCAAAGAUACGGUCGCCAAUGGCGCACUGCUUGAACCAACCCAAUCAACUCGCGUUCAUACGCGGCGAGUUUCAUGUGGCGUGGUGCAAAUGGUCUGCUGAAGAAAGCGAGAGGUCGCGCGCCUUGGUGAAGUACGGCGCCGAACCCCACACCAGAGGCAUCACAGUCGACUGUGAAGCACUUGUCGAAGUCCGGCAUUUGGAGCACGGGUCCGGAGGUGAGGGCGGUCUUGAGUGCUUGGAAUGCUGCUGUUGCCUCCUCAUCCCACGUGAACGCGUCUCGGCGCAGGAGACGCGUGAGUGGUGCUGCAAUCGUGCCGAAGUCGCGGAUGAAUUUGCGGUAGUAGCCCGCAAGGCCCAGGAAGCCGCGUAGGCCCCUGGCUGAGCUCGGCGUCGGCCAUGUGGAGACGGCUACCACCUUAGCCGUGUCCAUGGCUACCCCCUCCGCGGAAAUCACAUGGCCGAGGUACGCCACGGAUUUUUCCCCAAAUGAACAUUUGGAGCGCUUGACAUGUAGAUGGUGUGCUCGGAGGGCAUUGAGGACCACGCCCAAGUGCUGCAGGUGUUCGGCCCAUGUGGCACUGUAGAUUAGUAUAUCGUCAAAGAAUACCAGGACGAACCUGCGGAGAUAGGGCCGUAGCACAUCAUUCAUUAGUGCCUGGAAGGUCGCUGGGGCGUUGGAGAGGCCAAAAGGCAUCACCAAGAAUUCAUAGUGACCCUGAUGUGUGCGAAAAGCAGUCUUGGCGAUGUCAUCCGGGUGCAUUCGCACCUGGUGGUAGCCCGACCGGAGGUCGAGCUUAGUGAAGUAGCGAGCUCCAUGCAGUUCAUCGAGCAAUUCCUCAACGACGGGAAUGGGAAACUUAUCCUUAGAUGUCUUGGCGUUGAGGGCUCGGAAGUCGAUGCAGAAGCGCCAUGAGUUGUCAUGUUUCCGGACCAAGAGCACUGGAGCAGAGAACGGCGAGGUGCUUGGCCGAAUGAUGCCUUGGGCAAGCAUGGCUGCACACUGGCGUUCCAGUUCGUCCUUCUGGAGCUGGGGGUAUCUGUAGGGGCGAACCGCGACUGGAGGAGUGCCUGGAAGAAGAUGGAUGCGGUGGUCGUACGGCCGAGGUGGAGGCAGCCCGGCCGGUUCGGUGAACACCACCUCAAAUUGCUGGAGCAGGCGAUCCAUGAGUGGCUGGUCGGGUGUGGACGGUAUGGCACAUGAGGUCGGUGUGCGUGCCUGGCCCCUGCGCGAGCACAAGCCAGUCCACCGCACGGACCGGGAAGCCCGCGUGAAAGACAUGCACAUGUCCUUGAAAUUCCACAGUAUAGGUCCCAGUGUGCUGAGGAACUCUACGCCCAGGAUGAGAUCAAACUCGCCGAGGUUGAUGUCGUAACAGUUGACGCAGAAAGCUUCGGCGUUGAUGGCGAUCUCCACGUUCCGUGCUACGCCCUGGCACGGCACGCGUUCCCCGUUAGCCACCAUCACCCGAAGCGUGGGGCGGGGUUUAGUGGCUAAUUUGAGGCGGUGCAUGAUGUCGACGUUGAUGAAGUUGGUCGUCGAUCCCGAGUCGAGAAGCGCCACCACCCGAUGGCCGUGAAUGAUCACCGGCAGGAGCAUGGCCUGCUCGGUCCGGACCCCUGCAAUAGCGUGAAGGGAUACCGUCGGUGGAGGGUCGGAGUCCUGCAUGGCGUCCGCCCCUGGGACCGUGGGAUGUCCCGGCUCGCCGUGGUUGAAGGCCCCGGCGUGAUCCUCCGGUGUGAACGUGUCGUCGACGUAGUCCGCCGACUCCAGGUAGAAGAGACGCUGGCAGACGUGGCCACGGACAUAGGGUUCGUCACAAUUGUAACACAAUCCUUGCCGUCGACGUUCCAUCUGUUCCGCUGGUGUUAGCCGGCGGAACUGUCGUGUCGAUGUAGAGGAACCCGUUGAUGGCGUCGAACCCGAUGAAGGUAGCCCGUGCGGUUGUCGGGGUGGACCGGACGGCGGUGGUCGCGACGAGCUCCUCCCGCCACGUACUGGAGGAAACGCCCCUGGGCCAGCCGCACGGCGUUCGAACGCCCGUGCCAAGUGCAUGGCUGUUUGCAGGUUCUGGGGUUCGCGUAGCUCGACGUCGAUCCGUAUGUGGUCGGGCAGUCCUCCCACAAAGAGCUCCGCCUUCUGGGAUGCCGAGAGGUUGUGUGCAUGGCACAGCACCGCAUUGAAACGCUCGGCGUAGUCGUGCACCGUAGAGAUGAACGGCAACCGGGCGAGCUCCGACAGCCUCGUGCCGCGCACUGCUGGCCCGAAACGUAGGGUGCAGAGCUCGCGGAAACGGCCCCAGGCUGGCAUGCCUUCGUCUUGCUCGAGGGCGUAGUACCACGUCUGGGCGGCCCCAGUGAGAUGGUACGAUGCCAACCAGGUCCGAUCCGAGGCCGGGGUACGUUGGCCUCGGAAGAACUGCUCACAUUGGUUGAUCCAAUUGAGCGGGUCGACGGUGCCAUCAUAUGUCGGGAAAUCGAGUUUGUAGAAGCGAGGUGGCUGGGGACCGAAGCCUGGUCCCUGUCCCUGCGGAGGUGGCGCAGUGUCGUGCGACAUGGCCCCCUCAAAUUGUCCCCGGCCACCCUGGACCGAGCCGUAGGGUCCAAGGCCGUCGACGCCUCCGAAGUUGGCGCCGGUGCCGUAAGGUGGGUGAAACAUCGCUGGCAAUGGCAUGCCGGCCGCUCCCGGCGGUGUCGGGGACGUCGUCAUCGUGUACUGCGGCGCGCCCAUGGAUGCCAUCGCAUAUGAUGGGAUCGGUGAUGGUGACGCCGGCAUGGAUAGCAUGUGUAUGGGCACUCCUUGUGUUGCUGUCGCCCCGGUAUGAGGAAGGGCAUAGAGUGGCGGCUGUGGUGGGGGUAUGGUAGGUGACGGGGUUGGCUGGGAGUACAUGGAUCGCAGGAGAAAAUCCUGCAUGGCUGCCAUUGACCGGGACAGAUCGUGGACCGCUGUGGCCACAGAUUCCAGCGUGAGUAUUGGCGUAGGUGUGGUGGAAACUGGUGGAGAGAUGGUGGUGGACGGCCCUGGAACAGUGGAAGGCGAUGGUGGCGGUGGGUGGCUGGUGAAUGGAGGAUCGCUGGACAUAGCUGAUACCAGGUUGAUAGGAUUCCUAUUCCUACCAGGGACCUCCCUCAAGCUGUACUGGUGUACUGCUGGAGGUUGGCGGGGGACUGGGCGAGAGGGACGCCGGGACGCCGUGUUCACGGCGUGGGAAAACAGGCUAGCUCAGGUUCCGGCUUCCACAGGGAAGACGGCUAGGUAAUUUCUUUGAUGAUCC